AGAACCCUUCCUAGAAGGUGGAAGCAUAGAUUAGGUGCUCUACAAAAGAAUUAUAUUUGUAUGUGACAUUUGAAAGUUCUAUUAAUAAAAUAAAAGGCUCUAAGCGUUGAAUUUGUUUUAUGAAUUCUCUUACACUUGAAAUUAUAUUAAAUAAAUUAUAACUCUAUUAUAUAUUUAUAAUUGCUAGAAUAUUUUAUUACAAGUCUUUUGUUUUAAUAUUUUAUAAUUCUUUACUUACUUUCCUAUUUUUCGUUUAAUUUUUAAAUUUAUUGAAUAAGUCAAAAAACUAGAUGUUGCAAACUUUAAAAACUUAGUCAUUGACAAAAGAAUAUACGUUGUCAAACUCAAUGCUUAAAUAAUUUUUUUAAAAAUGGCAAUAAAGGCCAGCGAACCCGUCCCGUCCCGUUUGUUAGCGGGAUGGGAUGGACCUACCGUCCGUCCCGGGAUGGGCCUACCGUUUCAUCCCGUUUGUCCCAUCCCACCACCGUCCCGUCCCGCUCCAUCCAGUUAAUUUUGUCCCGUCCCGUUGGACAGCCAUAGAAUACAUCAAAUGAUGAAAUCAAACCUGAAAUUAAAAUGGGAAAAAUUAACCAAUUUCUAAAUAGUAUUAUCUGAAGUUAAAAAAUAAUACUGUGAAACUAAAAUUGUAUCUAUACCAACGUUAAAUAUAAAAGGCUGAAUUUUCUCGAAGAUUGUGAGAUUGGUAACGCGCUUAAAAUACACUUUAGAACAAUUAACAUUUUAAAAAACGUAACUGAAAAGCUAAAGGUUAAUAAACGAAGCCUCAGAUAGUCGAUCAGACAUCAAUGUAAAUGUUCAGACGGUAAUUCCAUAUAUUUAUAAAUAAAUUCCUCAUUGGCUUCACUUCUCACCGAAUAAAUUUUUUAAAAACAAAAAAGAGAUAGUAUGUAAUCGCACAAAACGGCUCCGUGUGAGGAAUGAAAAAUCCAUCCACAGAUUCCUAUCAAAAUGCGAAACAUUAAUAAAAACUUGUUAUUGGUCCAAUCAUAGCAUCGUCGGUCAUUGCUUAUUUUUGCUACCGUCGACGUGGCAUCGGACCUUCUUUAAUCAGUAAUACACAAAAAAAACUUAAGAAAAUUAGGUAUGAAGAAAACCUCAGGGACCCGUUCCAAAUCACACAAACAGCUUCAGUGCAGAAUACCACAAAAUCCAGACCAUUGAACAGAGACUGGGUAGUAGCUGAGCAAUGGUGGAUGGGAAAAUGAGUGGAAACUGCGGCUGCCGCUGCUGUUUAAAGUGUCAUACGGCACUUCCUAUUCUUGGGAUGUCUUCCUCAUCGGCGUAAAUUAAUAAUUACAAAAUUCAGAACUUGAAAAACCCUAGCAGUGAUGUCAAAAACCCUAAGAAUAAAAUACGAAAUGGAACGACAAGUAGAGAAAACUGUGGAUGA
RNAcentral lists this long non-coding RNA (1411 nucleotides) under Nicotiana tabacum (common tobacco). RNAcentral's name for it is "long non-coding RNA (NTAB_LNC017445)". The record is from RNAcentral. Lineage: Eukaryota; Viridiplantae; Streptophyta; Magnoliopsida; Solanales; Solanaceae.